Molecule: ribosomal RNA, 253 nt
Filed under: uncultured bacterium
Lineage: Bacteria
Description: partial 16S ribosomal RNA
Rfam family: Bacterial small subunit ribosomal RNA
Source: RNAcentral
UACGUAGGGUGCGAGCGUUGUCCGGAAUUAUUGGGCGUAAAGAGCUUGUAGGCGGUUUGUCGCGUCUGCUGUGAAAUUUCGGGGCUCAACCCCGAACUUGCAGUGGGUACGGGCAGACUAGAGUGUGGUAGGGGAGACUGGAAUUCCUGGUGUAGCGGUGAAAUGCGCAGAUAUCAGGAGGAACACCGGUGGCGAAGGCGGAUCUCUGGGCCUUACCUGACGCUCAGGUGCGAAAGCUAGGGGAGCGAACAGG